Molecule: non-coding RNA, 77 nt
Organism: Podarcis lilfordi (Lilford's wall lizard)
Lineage: Eukaryota; Metazoa; Chordata; Lepidosauria; Squamata; Lacertidae
Source: the annotation of a GenBank genome assembly
UUGGGGAUAGCUCAGUUGGCAGGGCAUGAGACACUCAAUCUCAGGAAUGUGGGUUUGAGCCCCACAUUGGGUAAAAG